UUUUUUUAUGCCCUACAUUCUACCGCAAAUACAUUUGGAUUUGCAUAUUUUGAGUCCUGCUACUACUAAUUUGACUUAUGAUGUCCAUGGUUUAGGAUGAUUGGUCGCAGCUCAUCUUCUAUCAUGAGUUUCUUAUUUGCAGGUGAUGAUCUUGCUGCAACUUGCUUGCUGCCUUGGUUUACAGUGAGCUAGCUGCUGCAGCCCUUUUGUUUCUUUAGAGGACACAGAUGACAGAAACGCCACCAUGGAAUCAGGCAACCAAUAACCGGAGCACAACUGUCAACUCAUUUUAUUCAUUGGCCAGACUACGAAGCAUGGAAAGAACAACCAGAAGGAAAUAAUAUGCGUACACCAUGAUGGUCACUGAGAAAUCUGACAUACAGCUAUGGUGUUGUGCGGUGGAGGUGCUAAUAGGUAGUGCACAUGUGCAACAAAUAUAAUUAACUGGGAGGUGAUCUCGUAACAUGGGCAAAAAUUUACAUCAGGGACAAUUCUCUGGGCCCAGGGAUCCUCGACACUAAUCUGGAUUUGGAAGAUUGCUCUGCUAUGUAGUUACCUGUCGCUGUGUGAGAGAUUGUUAAGCGAGUCGAAAGAUAGGGCCUGGGCAAGCUCCGCAUCCUCGUCUGCUUCUGAUCAUUCUUUCAAGAAGGAUAGCUCAUGAUGUAUGUUUAUAUAAGUUCAGUUAGUGAAGGGAAUACCCGUUGUUCCCUUUACCUUGUUAUUACUUAUGGUGGGGACUUUUGGAGUCUGCAGUCAUUCUUUCAAACUGGAAUACCAGUUUUUUGUGAUGUUUAUUUCUCU
Triticum aestivum (bread wheat) is the source of this 801-nucleotide long non-coding RNA. RefSeq lists it as uncharacterized. The transcript is spliced from 5 exons. NCBI's taxonomy places the organism in Eukaryota, Viridiplantae, Streptophyta, Magnoliopsida, Poales, Poaceae. The record is from RefSeq and is a predicted model, not a curated record.